This 1815-nucleotide ribosomal RNA is filed under the name Dermacentor andersoni. Its description in RNAcentral is "small subunit ribosomal RNA". It matches the Rfam family "Eukaryotic small subunit ribosomal RNA". The record is from RNAcentral. Lineage: Eukaryota; Metazoa; Arthropoda; Arachnida; Ixodida; Ixodidae.
UACCUGGUUGAUCCUGCCAGUAAUCAUAUGCUUGUCUCAAAGAUUAAGCCAUGCAUGUCUAAGUACAUGCCGAAAUAAGGCGAAACCGCGAAUGGCUCAUUAAAUCAGUUAUGGUUCCUUAGAUCGUUUCUUCCUACUUGGAUAACUGUGGCAAUUCUAGAGCUAAUACAUGCAGUGAGCCUGAAGCCCUUUGGGCGACGGGUGCUUUUAUUAGACCAAGAUCGAUCGGGUUUCGGCCCGUAUUGUGUGGUGACUCUGGAUAACUUUGUGCUGAUCGCAUGGCCACGAGCCGGCGACGUUUCUUUCAAGUGUCUGCCUUAUCAACUUUCGAUGGUAGGUUACUUGCUUACCAUGGUUGUUACGGGUAACGGAGAAUCAGGGUUCGAUUCCGGAGAGGGAGCCUGAGAAACGGCUACCACAUCCAAGGAAGGCAGCAGGCGCGCAAAUUACCCACUCCCGGCACGGGGAGGUAGUGACGAAAAAUAACAAUACGGGACUCUUUUGAGGCCCCGUAAUUGAAAUGAGUACACUCUAAAUCCUUUAACGAGGAUCAAUUGGAGGGCAAGUCUGGUGCCAGCAGCCGCGGUAAUUCCAGCUCCAAUAGCGUAUACUAAAGCUGCUGCGGUUAAAAAGCUCGUAGUUGGAUCUCAGUUCCAGACGAGUAGUGCAUCUACCCGAUGCGACGGCUCGGACUGAACAUCAUGCCGGUCCUUUCUUGGUGCACUUCAUUGUGUGCCUCGAGAAGGCCGGUGCUUUUACUUUGAAAAAAUUAGAGUGCUCAACGCAGGCGAGUCGCCUGAAUAAACUUGCAUGGAAUAAUAGAACAAGACCUCGUUUCUGUUCUGUUGGUUUUUGGAAUACGAGGUAAUGAUUAAGAGGGACAGACGGGGGCAUUCGUAUUGCGGCGCUAGAGGUGAAAUUCUUGGACCGUCGCAAGACGAACUACUGCGAAAGCAUUUGCCAAGAAUGUUUUCUUUGAUCAAGAACGAAAGUCAGAGGUUCGAAGGCGAUCAGAUACCGCCCUAGUUCUGACCAUAAACGAUGCCAACCAGCGAUCCGCCUGAGUUACUCAAAUGACUCGGCGGGCAGCUUCCGGGAAACCAAAGUGUUUGGGUUCCGGGGGAAGUAUGGUUGCAAAGCUGAAACUUAAAGGAAUUGACGGAAGGGCACCACCAGGAGUGGAGCCUGCGGCUUAAUUUGACUCAACACGGGAAAACUUACCCGGCCCGGACACUGGGAGGAUUGACAGAUUGAGAGCUCUUUCUUGAUUCGGUGGAUGGUGGUGCAUGGCCGUUCUUAGUUGGUGGAGCGAUUUGUCUGGUUAAUUCCGAUAACGAACGAGACUCUAGCCUAUUAAAUAGGUGCGGGGUUCCCAGCACCUUACAACCUUCUUAGAGGGACAAGCGGCUCCUAGCCGCACGAAACAGAGCAAUAACAGGUCUGUGAUGCCCUUAGAUGUCCGGGGCCGCACGCGCGCUACACUGAAGGAAGCAGCGUGUCUUUAUCCCUGUCUGAAAAGACUGGGUAACCCGUGGAACUUCUUUCGUGAUUGGGAUAGGGGCUUGCAAUUGUUCCCCUUGAACGAGGAAUUCCCAGUAAGCGCGAGUCAUAAGCUCGCGUUGAUUACGUCCCUGCCCUUUGUACACACCGCCCGUCGCUACUACCGAUUGAAUGAUUUAGUGAGGUCUUCGGACCGAUGUCCGGCGCGGCCUUUCGGUUGCGCCGGUCUGUUGGAAAGAUGACCAAACUUGAUCAUUUAGAGGAAGUAAAAGUCGUAACAAGGUUUCCGUAGGUGAACCUGCGGUAGGAUCAUUA